This 251-nucleotide long non-coding RNA is filed under the name Gossypium barbadense (sea-island cotton). RNAcentral describes it as "long non-coding RNA (GBAR_LNC004305)". The record is from RNAcentral. Lineage: Eukaryota; Viridiplantae; Streptophyta; Magnoliopsida; Malvales; Malvaceae.
CAUAUCACAACAUAGAAUAAGAAUAUUUGGUAUUGAUUGAUGAUGUAAAAUGAUUGUUUAGAUCAAGAACUGGAUCGAAGUGGAGUUUAUCGAGAAAAAAGCUAAAAUUGCAUAUUAGCCCCUAAAGUAUCCAGUUUACAUAUUUUGAUUAGGUAAGUUCAUAUGGAGCUUACCACUCUAUUUUAUUUUAUAUAUGAAUUAUAUUUGAAGUUAUCUAUACAUUAGAAUUGAGUAGAAUUAGUGAAUUUGGC